CGAGUGGCGGACGGGUGAGUAAUGUCUGGGAAACUGCCUGAUGGAGGGGGAUAACUACUGGAAACGGUAGCUAAUACCGCAUAACGUCGCAAGACCAAAGAGGGGGACCUCGGGCCUCUUGCCAUCGGAUGUGCCCAGAUGGGAUUAGCUAGUAGGUGGGGUAACGGCUCACCUAGGCGACGAUCCCUAGCUGGUCUGAGAGGAUGACCAGCCACACUGGAACUGAGACACGGUCCAGACUCCUACGGGAGGCAGCAUG
Molecule: ribosomal RNA, 259 nt
Filed under: uncultured bacterium
Lineage: Bacteria
Description: partial 16S ribosomal RNA
Rfam family: Bacterial small subunit ribosomal RNA
Source: RNAcentral